GAUUGUGUUGUGGUGUGGGUUGGUAGAAAGCUGGUUGCGUUCGAUAUGUAUAAAGCUGUCAGUUGUGGUUGGAGAAGACUUUUUAAGAAUAAAAGCAGCAUUUUGCAAAGUACUCUUUCUCAAAGACUCUUUGUGCCAGGACCGGGCAAAGGAGGUAAGAACGUUUUCUUUUUCAAACCUGGACAAUGAUGUCCAAGGACAAAAGAGCUUCUGAACUGACAAUCCUUGCACAGUUCCGUUGAUCUGUACUUCUUUCUUCCCAAGUAACAAAACCUGUGGGUAUAGGUCCAGAUCUUGCAUUAUUUUAGUGGUGCACAUCACCACAAAGUAUAUGAAAAUAUGGUGCCUCUAUUUAUAAACCGUAAGCUAGAACUCUACAAUUCUUGUGGGAUUGAUUUCUUCCUCCAGAUUGCUUACUGUGUAUUAGCUGAAGUGAGAAGCCCAGAGUUGCAGCCCCAGACAUUCUACCGAACGGUGCCCAAUGAGAAAUAUCAAUAUGAAGGGAUUGUCAUGCUACUUCUACAUUUCCAGUGGACAUGGGUAGGAAUUGUGGCAUCCGAUGAUGAAAAUGGAGAGAGCUUUAUGCAAACCUUAGUGCCAAUGCUUUCCCGGCAUGGAGUCUGUACAGCUUUCAAUGAAAAACUACCAGCCAUAUCUCAGGGUCUAGAUCAUUUCAGGUUCUUUGAACUCAUUCCAGCCAAGUCCACUUUCCUGGUAGCCUCAGAAAUUAACAUAUUAGUUCUGUUUGCAGAACCUCAGACCAUUGCAGUUGUGAAAUGGAUGCAAUAUUUCUUUUCAUUAGCUGAAGACAUUGCAGAGAAGUCUACAGGCACCGUGUGGAUUUUGACAGCCCAAUGGGCUUUCUCUUCAGAAACAAUGCAAAGGUAUUACGAUAUACAAGUCUUUGAUGGUGCCUUGUCUUUUGCAAUUCACACAGAGAAAGUCCAGGGAUUUAAAGAAUUCCUUCAGACCCUGAACCCCAACUCUCCAAAUGGAGAUGGGUUCCUCCAGGCUUUUUGGCAACAGGCAUUCAACUGUUUAUUUUCUGCUUCCAAUGGGCACAAGGAAAAUACAAAGACCUGCACUGGCCAUGAGAGUCUGGAGAGCCUUCCUGGGCAUAUUUUUGAAAUGACCAUGACUGGCCAAAGUUACAGUAUCUAUAAUGCGGUUUAUGCCAUUGCACAUACUUUACAUCAGAUGCACUCAUCCAGGUCGAAACGCAGAAUGAUGGCAGGCAGAGGUGGGCUCGAUCCUCCAAAACUGCAACCUUGGCAGGUGAGAUUUCCUGUUCAGAAUAAACCUUUGCAAAGUUGAUCAAGAAAAAGGAGAAUUGUGAAAAAUUAAGAAUUUGUUUGAAAAUACUAAGGUUUGUUUCUACCCAUGACUGCCCACCCAUUCUGUCCACCAACACCAACUUUUUUCUAGAACCUGCAUUUGUUUCUGCACUAAAGAGGCACAUAUAGGGCUAUUUUCAAAUGUGGUUGCCUGGUCUGCUUUUUAACUCCCUUCCAGUGAUGUUCAUUGAUUAUAGUGGACCUGCAAGUUAUGUUCAUUUUACGUUGGUUGGGAGAAGUAAAUAAACAAAUGGAGAUCAGGGAAAACCCACCAUGAGCUUCUCUCCAUUUCUUUGCCCCCUUCUCCCUGCACUCCCACCUUGCAGUUCCAGGGCUUCCUGACAUGGCACCAUUUUGCCUUUGCACACGGACGCCAGAGCUGAACCCUCACGCAAGUGGCAGGCCAGCUGUACUUGCUAGAAAUACCUAGGUGCUCCAAAUGUUGUAGACGGCACAGUUUUUGACUACUUUCCAAUGUGUGAAAAAUAUUGAUGGAUACUUCUUGUUUCUAAAAUCCAUUAAAGCUCUCCUUUUUUAAACUUUCCCUUUGUUUUCUUCUGCCUAGCUGCACUCGUUCUUGAGGAGUAUCUCCUUCAACAACAGUGCUGGUGACUUAGUGUCCUUUGAUGAGAAGGGGGAAUUAGCAGGUGGAUUUGAUAUUAUUAACUGGGUUACUUUUCCAAACCAAACCUUCUCCCGAGUGAAAGUAGGAAAGAUAGUUCCACAAGAUUCACAAAAUAUAGACUUCAGCAUGGAUGAGGGAGCCAUCACAUGGCACAGAGCUUUUAAUCAGGUGGGACCAUUGGAUUUUUAAAAAUGCGGUAUUGUAGGAGUAAAUUUUACUGACCCAAGUGAGAUUUACAUCUCAGAAGACAAGGGGAGGCUAAGUUACCCAUUUGCUUGGAAAGAUUUAUUGUCUUGCGGUGCUUCUCUGAGCCUAAUAAUGUAUGUGCUUCCUAUUCUACCUUCUUUGACAACUCCCUAUAUUUCAAAGUCUGUUGUCUUCCCUGUCUUCUCUCCAUCCUCCAUCUUUAUGCAGAUUAAAAAUUCAAUAUCCCUUCUCAUUCACUUCCAAUAUUAUUGGGAAUAAUAUUUAUAGAAACAACAGACUCUUCUGGAAUAAUGUUAAUCAGCCAACUGAUGUCAUUUUGGUUAAAACUGUGUUGUUCACAAGGCACAAGAGAGCUACAUUUUCUCCUCUUUUUAUGGCUAGGUGCUGCCCCUUGCCUUGUGUAAUGGUCGCUGCCAGCCAGGCUACAGCAGAAAAAAGAAGGAGGGAUUGCCAUUUUGUUGCUAUGAUUGUGCUUCGUGUCCAUAUGGGAUGAUUUCAAAUCAGACAGGUAAGAAACAUCAUCUGCUACUAUAAAAAAAUUAUUCCUAAUAUCUCUUUCAGUUUUUUCCAGUGAAUCUCGUAUUACUAUUUUGCAUUGUACAACUAACAAUUGUGACCAACUCUAGCUAAGGGUACAAUCAAAGCCAAUGUAUCUGAUCACUAACUCCGGAUGAAGGAGAGAGUAGAUGAAAAAUCCACGCACCUUAGGCCCAUCAAAAUUUAGAGCCUAUUGCACAUUAGGUAUAGUGGCUGGAAAUUUUACAAACAGUUGUUAAUAUCCACUUACCAAAUUAAUUAAUUAAUUAAUUAAUUACCAAAUAAUUAAUGCAACAUUUCUUGGAACUCAUAUAUCACUCAUUGUUUCAGAUGUGGAUUAUUGUUUCCAAUGCCAAGAUGACCAAUUUCCAAACAAGGACAGAGAUCAGUGCAUCCCCAAACGCCAACAUUUUCUUUCCUACGCAGAACCUUUAGGGUUCGUUUUAGCUUCCUUAGCUCUGGUCUUUUCUCUGCUCACAGCUUUGAUACUUGGCGUCUUCUCUAGGAAUGGGGACACUCCCAUUGUCAAAGCCAACAACCGGGACCUCACCUACACUCUGCUUACUUCCCUCUUGCUCUGCUUCCUCUGCUCCUUGCUGUUCAUUGGCCAGCCUCACCCAGUGAGCUGCUCUUUACGACAAGCUGCUUUUGGCAUCAUCUUCUCCAUUGCUGUGUCUUGUGUCUUGGCCAAAACCAUCACGGUGGUUCUGGCUUUCAUGGCUACCAAACCAGGAUCCAGGAUGAGGAAAUGGGUGGGGAAAUCUCUCACAAACUCGGUUCUUCUUGCUUGCUGCUCAGUUCAAAGCAGCAUUUGUGCUGCUUGGCUCUGUACGGCUCCUCCAUUCCCAGAUGUGGACAUGAGUUCUCUGAUGGAGGAAAUCAUUGUGGAAUGCAACGAAGGUUCUGUCGCGAUGUUUUAUUCUGUCCUGGGUUAUCUGGGAUUCCUGGCCAUGGUCAGCUUCACUAUGGCUUUCCUGGCCAAGAGGUUGCCGGACAGUUUCAACGAAGCCAAGUUCAUCACCUUCAGCAUGUUGGUGUUCUGCAGCGUUUGGCUGUCCUUUGUUCCCUCUUAUCUGAGCACCAAAGGAAAGCAGAUGGUGGCUGUGGAGGUCUUUUGCAUCUUGGCCUCCAGCGCAGGUUUGCUGGGUUGUAUCUUUCCCCCCAAAUUGUACAUCAUUCUUCUGAGGCCCGACUUGAACAGCAAAGACCACUUAAUUCUGAGGAGCAAAUAGGAAUCACCUUGUGUUGAUGUUUUUAAUUAGUGCAUUGUUUGCUGGCAUUAAUUGAAUGAAAAGCAGAAAAAGUUAUUCCUUGUAUUUCUGAACACUCAUCCUUUUCAUCUUUUUCAUUCCCAGAAAAAGCCUCCAACCUACAUCUGUAAUCAAUAAAGCUGAGACCAAUUUUUUAACCCC
RNAcentral lists this long non-coding RNA (4115 nucleotides) under Podarcis lilfordi (Lilford's wall lizard). Lineage: Eukaryota; Metazoa; Chordata; Lepidosauria; Squamata; Lacertidae. The record is from RNAcentral.